CACUAAGUGUUGGGACGAACCAUAAAAUGGCGUUUCUCGUUGAGCAAGAACUGAUUUCUGCGCGAUAUUAAAAUUAUAUAGUUAUCAACAAUUAAAGCGUGGACCGUGCACCUUAAUUCUCGCCAAAUAAUGUAGUUUUAGUAACGAAUUACAAAAAAAAAAUUGCAAAAUCCAACGGUGCAUGCAGCUAAAGUGCUUCAUCCGCAUUCAGUCGUCGUUGUUCAUAUAUCAUUUGCUCUCUCGCCGUCUCUCUGGCGUUUACAAUAUUGCAAAUUCUGUGGCAGACACACACAGAUGCUAGCAAAAUAGUAUGCACCCAUACAAACGCAGGAAAAAAAAUUAAAGUUAAUUAAGCGACUGUUGAAAUAUAUACAUAUGCAUAUUGUAUAUAUAUAGCAACAUUCGUAGUACGUGCAUUAUUUAAUACAAUUUAUGAAAUAAUAAAACCCAGUUCUCUUAAAUUGUCUGCACGCUGCCUGCAACGACUGUGCACCGUGUCUGUGUGUGUGUGUGUGUCAGUGUGUUUGUGUGUAACAUGUGCGUGUGAAAUGGUUUUAAGGCAGCGGAGCAGCAUCAACAAACCAACAACAACAACAACAACAGAGGCAAAACAGUUUAGGUUUGCAUUCGCAGCGCCAACAAACAACAACACAUGAC
RNAcentral lists this small RNA (657 nucleotides) under Drosophila virilis. RNAcentral's name for it is "GJ26653". Lineage: Eukaryota; Metazoa; Arthropoda; Insecta; Diptera; Drosophilidae. The record is from RNAcentral.